RNAcentral lists this ribosomal RNA (247 nucleotides) under uncultured bacterium. RNAcentral's name for it is "partial 16S ribosomal RNA". It matches the Rfam family "Bacterial small subunit ribosomal RNA", at positions 523 to 769 of the family's 1533-position model. The record is from RNAcentral.
AUACGGAGGAUCCAAGCGUUAUCCGGGAUUUAUGGGUUUAAAGGGAGCGUAGGUGGACGUAUAAGUCAGUUGUGAAAGUUUGCGGCUCAACCGUAAAAUUGCAGUUGAUACUGUAUGUCUUGAGUGUACAAGAGGUGGGCGGAAUUCGUGGCGUAGCGGUGAAAUGCUUAGAUAUCACGAGGAACUCCGAUUGCGAAGGCAGCUCACUGGGGUACAACUGACACUGAGGCUCGAAAGUGUGGGUAUC